AAAAUGAUUAUCUUCCAAGUGCCUUAAAUGAGGGAAGAAGAAAAAUUGGAUCAGAGAAAGCCAUUUCAUGCAACAAGGAACAAGGAGACUCAGAAUAUUCAGAUGAGACAAUCAAUGCAAUGUGAAACUAGCACAAAACCGCUAAAAUAGAUUAUUAAUCACUUAAUCGCACCACAAGCAGUACAGUUUCAGGCCAUUGACUUCUAGAGAGUACACACACACACACACA
This 229-nucleotide long non-coding RNA is filed under the name Malus domestica (apple). RNAcentral describes it as "long non-coding RNA (MDOM_LNC004651)". The record is from RNAcentral. Lineage: Eukaryota; Viridiplantae; Streptophyta; Magnoliopsida; Rosales; Rosaceae.